UUUUCUUUUUAAUUACAAUAAAUAAACCUACUUCAGAUGAAAACUUUCCAACCACAGAGGAAAAUGAAACCAUACCUGACCAGACAAAGUUAGAUCACAUGGAGGAGGUGGAUCUCACACCUGAGGAGACAAAACCUAGUGAGAAUCUUCCAGCAGAGGAGCCAGAAGUUUUGAUUCCAGCAGCAUCAGAAUGUGUUAAUUCUAACUAUAAAAGAGUGGAUCUGGAGGGCACUCGACCGCUGGCUGCAGAACGCCUGGGGAGCACUGGACCACCAGCAGAACACAUUGGGAUACCGCCACCUGCGGGACCAGCAAAGGGCACUGGGAUACCGCCACCUGUGGGACCGGCAGAGGGCACUGGGAUACCACCGCCUGCCGAACCGGCAGAGGGCACUGGGAUACUGCCGCCUGCUGAACUGGCAGAGGGAAGUGUCAGCCCUGUAACAGAAAUAGUCAGGAAAGUACAAAGUAACGAAGAGGACCAACUCAUUGAGGGUAAGACGGGAGAAAAAGAGGAAACUGAGAAGCACAGUGAGCUAGUAAGUGAGGGGACUGAAACAAAAGAAGAAGAAGAAACAGGAGAAGCUGUGGAUGCUACAGCAGCAACAGAUAGAUCCUCCUGCUUUUUGUUACUAGCAGUUGAAUUCAGCAACAUAACACUAGGAUAAGUGCAAAUUCCAGAGUCAGUGCAAUCAUGUGGGUAAGUAGAAAGCAUGAGCUGAUGAGAGAAUGUUUAAAAACAAAUAAAUGAAAAAUAAUAAAUGUAGGGGGAUAAGAA
This is a long non-coding RNA of Gopherus agassizii (Agassiz's desert tortoise), 778 nucleotides long. NCBI's taxonomy places the organism in Eukaryota, Metazoa, Chordata, Testudines, Testudinidae. The record is from Ensembl.